GCCUCGGGGAGCUGUAAGCAAGCUUUGAUCCGGGGAUGUCCGAAUGGGGAAACCCGGCUGUCUUCAUCGACAGUCACUACUCACUGAAUUCAUAGGUGAGUGAGAGGCAGACCAGGGGAACUGAAACAUCUAAGUACCCUGAGGAAGAGAAAACAAUAGUGAUUCCGUCAGUAGCGGCGAGCGAACGCGGAUUAGCCCAAACCAAGGAGCUUGCUCCUUGGGGUUGUGGGACGUCUCACAUGGAGUUACAAAGGAACCGGUUAGAUGAAGAGGUCUGGAAAGGCCCGCCAGAGAAGGUAAAAGCCCUGUAGUUCAAAACUUGUUCCCUCCGAGACGGAUCCCGAGUAGUGCGGGGCACGUGAAACCCCGUAUGAAUCCGGCAGGACCAUCUGCCAAGGCUAAAUACUCCCUGGCGACCGAUAGUGAAGCAGUACCGUGAGGGAAAGGUGAAAAGCACCCCGGAAGGGGAGUGAAAUAGAUCCUGAAACCGUGUGCUUACAAGAAGUCAGAGCCCGAUCUAUGGGUGAUGGCGUGCCUUUUGUAGAAUGAACCGGCGAGUUACGUUCCCGUGCAAGGUUAAGGUGAAGAGCUGAAGCCGCAGCGAAAGCGAGUCUGAAUAGGGCGACUGAGUACGUGGACGUAGACCCGAAACCGGGUGAUCUACCCCUGUCCAGGGUGAAGGUGCGGUAACACGCACUGGAGGCCCGAACCCACGCAUGUUGAAAAAUGCGGGGAUGAGGUGGGGGUAGCGGAGAAAUUCCAAUCGAACCCGGAGAUAGCUGGUUCUCCCCGAAAUAGCUUUAGGGCUAGCCUCGGAAAAAAGAAUCGUGGAGGUAGAGCACUGAUUGGGUGCGGGGCCCGCAAGGGUUACCAAGCUCAGUCAAACUCCGAAUGCCAUAGAUUUAGUUCCGGGAGUCAGACAGUGAGUGCUAAGAUCCAUUGUCGAAAGGGAAACAGCCCAGACCAUCAGCUAAGGUCCCCAAGUGUGUGUUAAGUGGGAAAGGAUGUGGAGUUGCACAGACAACCAGGAUGUUGGCUUAGAAGCAGCCACCAUUGAAAGAGUGCGUAAUAGCUCACUGGUCGAGUGACUCUGCGCCGAAAAUGUAACGGGGCUAAACACACCACCGAAGCUAUGGCUUGAUGCUUGCAUCAGGGGUAGGGGAGCGUUGAAUGCGGGUUGAAGGUGUACCGGAAGGAGCGCUGGACUGCAUUCAAGUGAGAAUGCCGGUAUGAGUAACGAAAAGAUCUGUGAGAAUCAGAUCCGCCGAAAGCCUAAGGGUUCCUGAGGAAGGUUCGUCCGCUCAGGGUAAGUCGGGACCUAAGGCGAGGCCGAUAGGCGUAGUCGAAGGACAACAGGUAGAAAUUCCUGUACCACCGUAAUCCGUGAUGAGCGAUGGGGUGACGCAGUAGGGUAGUGACGCGGACUGAUGGAUGUCCGUCUAAGCAGUGAGGCUGAUGUGUAGGCAAAUCCGCACAUCGUUAAGGCUGGGCUGUGAUGGGGAGCGAAAAUUAUAGUAGCGAAGGUCAUGAUCUCAGACUGCCAAGAAAAGCCUCUAGCCAGGAGAAGGUGCCCGUACCGCAAACCGACACAGGUAGGCGAGAAGAGAAUUCUAAGGCGCGCGGAAGAACUCUCGUUAAGGAACUCGGCAAAAUGACCCCGUAACUUCGGGAGAAGGGGUGCCUCGGUAGGGUGAAUAGCCCGAGGGGGCCGCAGUGAAAAGGCCCAAGCGACUGUUUAGCAAAAACACAGGUCUGUGCGAAGCCGCAAGGCGAAGUAUACGGGCUGACGCCUGCCCGGUGCUGGAAGGUUAAGGGGAGUGGUAAGCCUUCGGGCGAAGCUAUGAACCGAAGCCCCAGUAAACGGCGGCCGUAACUAUAACGGUCCUAAGGUAGCGAAAUUCCUUGUCAGGUAAAUUCGUUUCUCUUAUACACAUCUCCGAGCCCACGCUACGGACUCCUCUCUCGUUUGCCGUCUUCUGCUUGCUUAACAAACAUCUCUCAUAUUAACAUCUUCCCCCACGUUCACACAGCUCUCUAUUACCGUCCCCACGUUACAGCCUGGUACAUAAAUCA
Molecule: ribosomal RNA, 2073 nt
Filed under: Paenibacillus jamilae
Lineage: Bacteria; Bacillati; Bacillota; Bacilli; Caryophanales; Paenibacillaceae
Description: bacterial LSU rRNA
Rfam family: Bacterial large subunit ribosomal RNA
Source: RNAcentral